GGGCUGCAGUAUAUUGACUGUACAAAGGUAGCAUAAUCAUUAGUCAUUUAAUUGAUGACUUGUAUGAAAGAUUGGAUGAAAUAUAAGCUGUCUCUUUAUUAUUUUAUAGAAUUUAAUUUUUUAAUUAAAAAGUUAAAAUAAAUUAAAAAGACGAGAAGACCCUAUAGAGUUUUAUAUUUAAAAUAAUUGAGAUUAUUUAUAAAUUUUUUAAUUAAAAUUAUUUUAAUUAUUUUGUUGGGGUGACAAAAAAAUAUGAAAAACUUUUUUUAUUAUUUAACAUAGAUAAGUGAGUAUAUGAUCCAAUAUUAUUGAUUAUAAGAAAAAAUUACCUUAGGGAUAACAGCGUAAUUUUUUUUUUUAGUUCGAAUAAAAAAAAGAGUUUGCGACCUCGAUGUUGGAUUAAGAUAAAAUUUAAAUG
RNAcentral lists this ribosomal RNA (418 nucleotides) under Spodoptera frugiperda (fall armyworm). Its description in RNAcentral is "partial 16S ribosomal RNA". Lineage: Eukaryota; Metazoa; Arthropoda; Insecta; Lepidoptera; Noctuidae. The record is from RNAcentral.